This is a long non-coding RNA of Alexandromys fortis (reed vole), 875 nucleotides long. RefSeq lists it as uncharacterized. The transcript has 4 exons. NCBI's taxonomy places the organism in Eukaryota, Metazoa, Chordata, Mammalia, Rodentia, Cricetidae. The record is from RefSeq and is a predicted model, not a curated record.
GUUCUGACACUGUUAGUUGCUGAUUUACAUUCACUUAGAUGUUAACUGCUCUGUAGGCUAGGGCAUCCUCUUUCUUGAAUAGGUAAUAGCAUAUUUGGAUUUCAAUUUUUCUUUCAUGUCUCCAGCUAAGCAGUGCAUGCUGCUUUUAGACAAGCAUAGCUGACCAGUUGCAACCGCCUCAUGAUUCCAUUUAAGGCACAGACCAAGGACUACAUUCUACGGCAGCGAUAAGAGCACGCCUGCAGAUCCACCUUCCCUGCAGCUGUGUUCACAAUAGUAAAGACACAGAACAAGACCAGCGGGCCAUCAAGUGAGGAACAGAUGAUGAACAUAAAUAGGCAAGCAGGUCAGAAUCUCAUGGACGAAGGAUGGACACAGGACACACAACUGGCUUAAUUUUGGAAAGCUGUGAAGAACAGUUGAAGAAGCAGAGAGCAGGGGCAGCAAGAUGAGUUUGUGAAGAUAUUUGAGAAGGCUUCUCUUGCAGGAGGACCAACAUGUUCUCUUCAAGUGGCACGUGACUGUUCUGUUGAAGCCUCUCCUCCUUCCCUUCUAGCAUUAUUCUCUAAAUUGUUCUGGUUAACAUUUUGUUUUUGUCAACCUGACUCAAGCCAGGGUUUUCGGGGAAAAGGAACCUCAGUUGAGAAAAUUCCUCCAUCAGAAUGCUUGUAGGCAAAUCCAUGCAGCAUUUUCUUCGUUGAUUACUGAUGUGGGAAGGCCCAGUCUACUGGUUUUGGGUGGUAUAUAAAUGCAACCUGAGUAAGCCAUGAGCCGUGAGGAGGAGGCCAGGAAGCAAUAUUCCUUUAUGGUCUGUGCUUCAUUUCCUGUCUCCAGGUUAUUGCCCUGGUUUCCUCUUAUUAUGGACUAUAACCUGU